GCGAGGCAAGCAAUAGACUACGGAAUGAAAGGGGAACUAUGAUCCCCGGCGAGGUCCGCGGCCCAAUAAUUCCUGCCCGGGAGAUGCCCUCCGGACUCUGCUUCCCAUUCCGUUCAUUACUGGAUUCGGAUGCAGCGAUAUACUUCGUCCUCUGCAGCGGAGGCGACACAGCCGCUCGAUCUCCACAAAGAGGAUCGUAGAUGAAGGUGGCUAUUGACGGUAAAGUUCUCGCAUUGUUGUCGCAGAGAAAUUAGGAGCUCUAGUCAUGUUCCCAUGAACCCUCAUUGUUUACCAAAAGCCGAGAGGUUGUUUGUUGGUUUGUAGGUAACCCUAGAAUAUAAUCUGCAAGAGCUUUGUUUGCUGACACCAAAUUUUUUGGGAAUAAUGUGGCUUAGCAUGCCACAAGUAUGGAGAUUGAUAAAUAUGAGAAAACAAAUGAUAACACUAGGAAAAGAAAACAUGAACAUGCAUAAAAGAGUGGAUGGAGAUGAUUCACUAUAUCAAAAGUGAUCACCAAAGAAUGGUUGCAUACUUAGUUACAAAUACCGGGUGAUAAGGACUUGGAGCCUAAUCUUAGAUUAAAAAUUGUUGCCAAAGGAUUAUGUACAGCAAUGUAAUGCUUAUCUUGAAUUUAUUUUGGAGUUUUAAGCUUGCUUCAGAUACGAUGAAACGUAGCAUUUUAUGUAGUCCAUAAAAGGGAAAUGCCACAUUGCAUCUGCACCUAUCAGUCACUGUUUCUAUAUUGUUUGAUAUACAUAAUCUCCAUUAAAGAACCAGAGAGUUAGUGUUCACUUUGUUUUUAUUUUCAAUUUCUGUAUAUAUUUAUGAAGACCAAUUUUAGAACGGUUUCGUAUGGCAACUAUAAAUAUGAAGGAAGAAGGGUUUAUAUCUUAUAUUUCAAGCAUACCUAUGCAUUAUAUAAGAUCAAAUGUAGGUUCUUCUGAUUACAUCUGUUUUUCCUUGCUAUAGUUUGUCUAAGAUUUUCUGGUUAAACCAUUUGCCACUCAGUUGCUAAUCAAGCUGCAUUCUAUAGUGAAAGAAUUAGCCCUAUUUUUCUUAAAUCAUGGAGAGAUAAAACCAUAGAGGCAUGAAUGUUGUUGGGGCAAGUCACAAUCAAUAUGUUCUUACCGUGACUGGUUCAUUUGCCUUCUUUUGGGACCACAGCUACUACUCCAUAGGAAGGGUGAUCCAUAGAGCGAAGGUAAGGCUGCUUCCUUAUAACCUGGAUGACUAUCGUUUGAUGCUUGGAAUUGCCUCUCUCUUCACUGGAGUGAGGUUAUGUUUAUUGACUCUUCUCAGAUCUUACAUUGGCUGAAAUCUCAUGCAUUGAACCCUCCCUUUUUUUAGCUGUGAUUCCGUACUAAUAAGUUACUCUACUUCAAGUUAUAUGACUAUUAGAGAGAAACUUUGUACUAAGUUAUGUACAUUGCUUUUAACUCCUAGGCAAUCCCUUCUUGUGAUAACCUCCUUGACUCAACUGUCAUGGGUUCUUUCUCAACUUUAGAUAAGUCAUGAAGAUUUGGAGAAAAACUUGUUUCAAAUCAUAGUUUUAUCACCAAGUAUCAUGAGAAUAAUUUGAUAAGCUUUAGUUGUACCCUAGCCUAACUUCCUUUGCAAGUGUGUCGUUCAUUAUAUGUAGGACUAUGCAGCUACAUCAAUUCUGUUACAUGAAGAUGGCCAUGGUAGUUGUUGGAAAUGCUUAUAUUUCUUCGAGGAAAAGAAGAGGAAAAAAGUUGACGGUGGAUCUUAUCAACACUUUUUCCUUUGCAACUGUUGUGGUUCUCUGAGUUUGCAUGUCAACUCCUCCCUUUCCGACAUCUUUGUGCAUGCAAGCAAUGCACACAGUCUCUUUUUGACUCUCCCUUUGUGACUUUGAGCAAAUAGGUAGGGUGAAGGUUCUCUUUUGAGAAUAUACCGAAAGCAGUUAUAGUCUUUAUAGACUGGGGGCCAGUUUGGCACUUUGGCUGCCCUUGAGCGUGGUUGGAAAAGACUGACACUUAAGUACGUCGGUAGAUUCAUAGAGUGCCAUGUGGAUGACAAAGGUUGUGAUAUGCUCUGACGGAUCAAAGUUCCUGUCAUAAAAUCUUUAAUGCAGGAAGGCAGAAACCUAAGGGGAUAGAGUUUUGUUUCAUGUAAAUUUUCACCAAGUCUGAGGUUCUUGGUUCAUAAUGCAUUCAGGAAGUGAUUCCUAGAUGUCGUUAGUGCCAAUUGCACUAUAUGCACGUAGGUUCGUCAUAUCGUAGUAUAUUGUUCAAUAUGGGUGAUACAUACUAGUCCAAUAGGUAAACGAUACGGGCGGUACAUCGGUAUGCCCCCAUGAAUCAUAUGUCGGUAAACUCGGUAUGGCUUAGUACACCAUAUCAACAGUUGGUCGGUACACCGGUAUGGACCGAUAAGGCGGACCAUGAUAUGCACUAUAUUAUCUCAUAUGUUGAUACAUCAAGCGGUUCUUCAAAGAUCACCAACACAAUGUUUUUCUCUCUUUUUUUAUUAUUUUAUUACAUUCAUUAUUAGAGCAAAAUCUGCACAUGCAUGUAUGAUUCUUGGGAUCAAACAUGUUGCUAAGCCUUUUAUGUUCAUAGAAGUAAUUCAAGUAUUUUUGGUCAAGAGUAUAGCUCGGGUAUCAAUUGUCCUGAUGAUUGUAAAUUAUUUGUUUUUUAUGAAUAAAUUUGAUUUCUUGCAAUCGUAAAGGGGAUUGAUUGUAAAAGGUAUUGGUUUUGACUCAUUCGGUACUGCAACAUCCAAAGAAAAAGGUAGUACGAUCAUACGGGAUUCUUGAAUAGUUUCCUCCUUGCCAAAGAAUCGAGCGUAUGGCGUAAGGGCGACCCUUAUCGGCGACCCUCCCUAGAGCUAUGUUGCUCUCUCCCUUGGCAUCGCUAGAGGGGGAGGAGAUGUCGGCCUUCGUCAGCCUUCUUUCAAAUGGCAAAAUUUUAUCACCAAGAAGGCUAAGACCAUGCAGCUACUUCAAUUCUCUUAAACGGAGAUAGCUACGGUGUUGUGGUUGUUGCAGUGCAUGCCAACUCCUCCCCUGCUGACAUCUUUGUGCAUGCAAGCAAUUCAAAGAUUCUUUGUUGGCCUGGAGAUACCUACGUUGACCUACCAUAAGUUGACGAGCCAUUGAGAAUAUUGAUCUUCCCUCUGUGGCUUGGAGCAAAUAGGUAGAGUGAAGGUUCUCGUUUGAGAAUAUACCAAAAGAACUUAUGGAAGAAGUAUCAACAACAGCAAUAAGAACUUUCUGCUCUUCAGGUAGAUUCACAUGGAUUGACUGAAAGAAAAAAGGCCAGUUGGAUGCAUCCGUGUGAUUAUACUUCUCUAUGAGCCAGGUAACAACAGAGUGUUGCUCAGUAUCGGUCUUCACCUCUGGAUUGUGGCGCCAUACCAAGAAUUCAGCAGCAACUCUCAUCUUGAGAACACAAUUUUAGUGUCUGUUUAUGUUUGACUCGUGGCCUCCUUGCUUUGUCUUCGAAAUGUACAUGUAACUAAUGGUAUGUUAUAUGGCUUGCAUGCACUGUAUGAUAUAUGUGAAAUAUCAUUGCACGUCACUUAGAGAAGGCAGAAAUAAAUGCUGAAGGUCAUAGGAAUUAUGACUUGUAUGAAAGCAGACAGAUAUAUGGAGUAGAAAAUACUAUGUUUGGAGUAGAAAAUAGGAGCUGUUUUAAGUGUUUUCUAUUAGGCAACAU
Molecule: long non-coding RNA, 3680 nt
Organism: Musa acuminata AAA Group (dessert banana)
Lineage: Eukaryota; Viridiplantae; Streptophyta; Magnoliopsida; Zingiberales; Musaceae
Exons: 4
Source: RefSeq, a predicted model, not a curated record